Molecule: ribosomal RNA, 600 nt
Filed under: Bacillus sp. (in: firmicutes)
Lineage: Bacteria; Bacillati; Bacillota; Bacilli; Caryophanales; Bacillaceae
Description: bacterial SSU rRNA
Rfam family: Bacterial small subunit ribosomal RNA
Source: RNAcentral
CAGCGGCGGACGGGUGAGUAACACGUGGGCAACCUGCCUGUAAGACUGGGAUAACUCCGGGAAACCGGGGCUAAUACCGGAUAACUCUUUUCCUCACAUGAGGAAAAGCUGAAAGAUGGUUUCGGCUAUCACUUACAGAUGGGCCCGCGGCGCAUUAGCUAGUUGGUGAGGUAACGGCUCACCAAGGCCACGAUGCGUAGCCGACCUGAGAGGGUGAUCGGCCACACUGGGACUGAGACACGGCCCAGACUCCUACGGGAGGCAGCAGUAGGGAAUCUUCCGCAAUGGACGAAAGUCUGACGGAGCAACGCCGCGUGAGUGAUGAAGGUUUUCGGAUCGUAAAACUCUGUUGUCAGGGAAGAACAAGUACCGGAGUAACUGCCGGUACCUUGACGGUACCUGACCAGAAAGCCACGGCUAACUACGUGCCAGCAGCCGCGGUAAUACGUAGGUGGCAAGCGUUGUCCGGAAUUAUUGGGCGUAAAGCGCGCGCAGGCGGUUCCUUAAGUCUGAUGUGAAAGCCCCCGGCUCAACCGGGGAGGGUCAUUGGAAACUGGGGAACUUGAGUGCAGAAGAGAAGAGUGGAAUUCCACGUGUAGC